This 402-nucleotide transfer-messenger RNA is filed under the name Minisyncoccota bacterium. It matches the Rfam family "transfer-messenger RNA". Rfam says of the family: Bacterial tmRNA, also known as 10Sa RNA or SsrA, is named for its dual tRNA and mRNA-like properties. Its role is to liberate the mRNA from a stalled ribosome. Lineage: Bacteria; Bacillati; Minisyncoccota. The record is from RNAcentral.
GGGGAUGAAAUGAAUAGACAAGAGGUUUCAUUUCACGCACGCAUGCCGAGUAUGGAAACAAUCUCGUAAAACUUUUUCCAAUUCCCAAAUGCAAUCGCAUCUGGAAAAUCAAUUACUUCUCCGUAUUUUGCGCAGAAGGACUUUGAUUUCGCGUUCGCCUAAACAGGCCCGCGCGAUGUCUUAACUGCCGAUUCCUAAUACGUAGUUAGGGCAUAAUAAACUUAGGAUAGGGGACAGAGUUGCUUCACUUUGAACCCAAAACCCACGAAGCUCGGAGUAAAUGUGUUUUGUUGAUUUCAAAGCAUUUAUUCUUAAAUCCGCAAGGAAUCAAAAUUAACUAAGCAUGUAGAAGUUCAUGGAAUCACUUUUUGCACGGCGGUUCGCUACCGCCCAUCUCCACAC